AACGAACGCUGGCGGCAUGCCUAACACAUGCAAGUCGAACGAGACCUUCGGGGCUAGUGGCGCACGGGUGCGUAACGCGUGGGAAUCUACCCUCAGGUUCGGAAUAACUCAGAGAAAUUUGAGCUAAUACCGGAUGAUGACGUAAGUCCAAAGAUUUAUCGCCUGAGGAUGAGCCCGCUUAGGAUUAGGUAGUUGGUGAGGUAAAGGCUCACCAAGCCGACGAUCCUUAGCUGGUCUGAGAGGAUGAUCAGCCACACUGGGACUGAGACACGGCCCAGACUCCUACGGGAGGCAGCAGUGGGGAAUAUUGGACAAUGGGCGAAAGCCUGAUCCAGCAAUGCCGCGUGAGUGAUGAAGGCCUUAGGGUUGUAAAGCUCUUUUACCCGGGAUGAUAAUGACAGUACCGGGAGAAUAAGCUCCGGCUAACUCCGUG
Molecule: ribosomal RNA, 433 nt
Filed under: uncultured bacterium
Lineage: Bacteria
Description: partial 16S ribosomal RNA
Rfam family: Bacterial small subunit ribosomal RNA
Source: RNAcentral